GACUCUCGGCAAUGGAUAUCUCGGCUUCUGCAUCGAUGAAGACGCAGCGAAAUGCGAUAUGUGGUGCGAAUUGCAGAAUCCCGCGAACCAUCGAGUCUUUGAACGCAAGUUGCGCCCGAGGCCAAAACCCAAGGGCACGUCUCCCUGGCGUCA
Engraulis encrasicolus (European anchovy) is the source of this 153-nucleotide ribosomal RNA. RefSeq annotates it as 5.8S ribosomal RNA. The transcript has a single exon. NCBI's taxonomy places the organism in Eukaryota, Metazoa, Chordata, Actinopteri, Clupeiformes, Engraulidae. The record is from RefSeq and is a predicted model, not a curated record.